CACGCCGUAAACGGUGGGCACUAGGUGUGGGGGACAUUCCACGUUCUCCGUGCCGUAGCUAACGCAUUAAGUGCCCCGCCUGGGGAGUACGGCCGCAAGGCUAAAACUCAAAGGAAUUGACGGGGGCCCGCACAAGCGGCGGAGCAUGCGGAUUAAUUCGAUGCAACGCGAAGAACCUUACCUGGGUUUGACAUCUGCCGGAAGCAGCCAGAGAUGGUUGUGCCUUUUUGGUCGGUUGACAGGUGG
Molecule: ribosomal RNA, 246 nt
Filed under: uncultured Propionibacteriaceae bacterium
Lineage: Bacteria; Bacillati; Actinomycetota; Actinomycetes; Propionibacteriales; Propionibacteriaceae
Description: partial 16S ribosomal RNA
Rfam family: Bacterial small subunit ribosomal RNA
Source: RNAcentral